UAAGGCGUCCUGAGGCGUCGCGUAGGCGUCCUGGGGCAUCGCCUAGGUGCUGAAAUCGCCGCUUCGAUCCAUUCUGGACGCUCUCGAGCAGGAAACAGAGAUCGGGCGGGAGAAACCAAAAUUGGCAGGCAUGGGCGGGAGAGGAAGUGAAAUUGGAGGGAAAUUGGAGUAGGGGGAGAGAGGGGAACACCAGGAGCUCCCGCCCAUCCACCUCCGCCG
Molecule: long non-coding RNA, 219 nt
Filed under: Brachypodium distachyon (stiff brome)
Lineage: Eukaryota; Viridiplantae; Streptophyta; Magnoliopsida; Poales; Poaceae
Description: long non-coding RNA (BDIS_LNC003981)
Source: RNAcentral